RNAcentral lists this ribosomal RNA (254 nucleotides) under uncultured bacterium. RNAcentral describes it as "partial 16S ribosomal RNA". It matches the Rfam family "Bacterial small subunit ribosomal RNA", at positions 524 to 776 of the family's 1533-position model. The record is from RNAcentral.
UACAGAGGGGGCAAGCGUUAUUCGGAAUUAUUGGGCGUAAAGGGCGCGUAGGCGGUUCUUCAAGUCUCUCGUGAAAUCCCUCGGCUUAACUGAGGACGUGCGGGAGAUACUGAAGGGCUUGAGUCCGGAAGAGGGUGGUGGAAUUCCCAGUGUAGCGGUGAAAUGCGUAGAUAUCCGGAGGAACACCGGUGGCGAAGGCGGCUUCCUGGACCGAUUACUGACGCUGAGGCGCGAAAGCUAGGGGAGCAAACGGG